CAUGGUGGCAGAGAAGUCCGGGUGUCGGCACUCCAGAUAAGGUUACAGGAAAACUCAGACAUCCAUCUCAUUUCCCUCCCCUCCCUCCAAUUCCCUUCCUGGCGCCCAGCAUAGAGACUGUUGGCCGCUGCCCCUUUAAGGGCCUCCACUCCUCCCCACCCCAAGCAGUGGCACCGGGGCGGGUAGUGGGGGGGAGGUUGAGCGUUCUCGCCCCGGUCAACUAGGGAAAAUGGCCCAGGCCCGGGAAAUCGCUCCCACGCCCCGCUGUCCCCGCCCCCGAGCCGGGUGAGCUGGGAGACCCCUUCUCUCUUUCCCUCCCGCCCCACGCACGCCACGGGAAUGGCUCCGUGGCCUCACGGGAACGGCUCCCUGGCUUCGUGGCCGGAUGCCCCCACCCUGACGCCCAAUACUGCCAACACGAGUGGGCUGCCGGGGGUGCCGUGGGCGGUGGCAUUGGCGGGGGCACUGUUGGCGCUGGCCGUGCUGGCCACCGUGGGAGGCAACCUGCUGGUCAUCGUGGCCAUCGCUCGGACGCCGAGACUCCAGACCAUGACCAACGUGUUCGUGACCUCGCUGGCCACAGCAGACCUGGUGGUGGGACUCCUGGUAGUGCCGCCGGGGGCCACCCUGGCGCUGACCGGCCACUGGCCCCUGGGCGCCACUGGUUGCGAGCUGUGGACCUCAGUGGACGUGCUGUGUGUGACCGCCAGCAUUGAAACCCUGUGCGCCCUGGCCGUGGACCGCUACCUGGCAGUGACGAACCCGCUGCGCUACGGCGCCCUGGUCACCAAACGGCGCGCCCGGGCAGCCGUGGUACUGGUGUGGGUCGUGUCAGCGGCGGUGUCGUUUGCGCCCAUCAUGAGCAAAUGGUGGCGCGUGGGAGCCGACGCCGAGGCGCAGCGCUGCCACUCCAAUCCGCACUGCUGCGCCUUCGCCUCCAACAUACCCUACGCGCUGCUCUCCUCCUCCGUCUCCUUCUACCUUCCGCUCCUUGUGAUGCUCUUCGUCUACGCGCGCGUUUUCGUCGUGGCUACGCGCCAGCUGCGCCUGCUGCGCGGAGAGCUGGGCCGCUUCCCGCCAGGGGAGUCUCCGCAGGCCGCGUCUCGCUCUCUGUCCCCUGCCCCGGCGGGGCCGUGCGCUUCUCCCGCAGGGGUGCCCUCCUACGGGCGGCGGCCCGCGCGCCUUCUGCCUCUCCGGGAACACCGGGCCCUGCGCACCUUGGGUCUCAUCAUGGGGACCUUCUCUCUCUGCUGGUUGCCCUUCUUUGUGGCCAACGUGGUGCGAGCCCUCGGGGGCCCCUCUCUGGUUCCCAGCCCGGCUUUCCUGGCCCUUAACUGGCUAGGCUAUGCCAACUCCGCCUUUAACCCGCUCAUCUACUGCCGCAGCCCCGACUUUCGCAGCGCCUUUCGCCGCCUGCUGUGCCGCUGCCGGCGGGAGGAGGGCCACGCAGCAGCCUCCGGGGCUGGAGAAACCUCGGAUGCCCCUGCGGCGCUGACGAGGCCCGCAGAGUCGGGGCUUCCUGGGGGAAUUUCUUAGGUCCUGAACGACAAGAAACAACUCUGUUCAUCCAGAACUUUUGGAAAGCCUCUGGCCUCUGUUUAGAAUGAGCCCUGUGGAGUUUCCCAGCUGGAAAUCUCUGACCUCCAGAAACUGAACUUUUCUAAGCCCUGAGCUUCACCACUACCUCAGCAGCUGAAGUAUCCAGCAGCCUGGAGCAGCCGGACUAGCUUUGGUGGGACACCUGUCACCUUGCUCACUUCUGUGCUGUGUGCUUAGGGCAGAGACAGCACUCCUCCUUUCAUCCCUCCUGCUGCCUAGACCUGACGGACCACUCAGUGCUCCCCACGAUCGCUUGCUGCUUGCUCUGUGGCCUAGGCUGGGAGCAGGAAGCUAGCAAAGGUGCAGCUUUGGGGUUUUGUCCCUGACACAUCGCUACGGAUCUCUAAGCACCGGCCUCCCCCACUUUGGACACAGGACAGCUCUGAUCUACCUCACAGCAGUGCCAGAAGGACUUCUUCAGGGUUUUUUUUUUUGGAGGGGGGUGGGGGAGUGGCUCCGGGAUUCAUAGGAGGCCGAACCAUUAGAACAGAUCCCUUCUUUUCCUUUUAGCAUCAAAUGAAUAAAUAUUACUGAAUGCGAU
This is an RNA transcript of Herpailurus yagouaroundi (jaguarundi), 2140 nucleotides long. It is a transcript of the gene named adrenoceptor beta 3, with no coding region annotated. The record is from RefSeq and is a predicted model, not a curated record. Lineage: Eukaryota; Metazoa; Chordata; Mammalia; Carnivora; Felidae. The transcript is spliced from 3 exons.